UACCCGACUUCCGGAUACCAAAUGUCAUAUCCAACUCGUUUCGUCAAUUGGUAUCCUUAGUCGUGGUCU
Molecule: microRNA precursor, 69 nt
Filed under: Caenorhabditis briggsae
Lineage: Eukaryota; Metazoa; Nematoda; Chromadorea; Rhabditida; Rhabditidae
Description: Cbr-Mir-358-v1_pre stem-loop
Source: RNAcentral